Molecule: ribosomal RNA, 752 nt
Filed under: uncultured bacterium
Lineage: Bacteria
Description: bacterial SSU rRNA
Rfam family: Bacterial small subunit ribosomal RNA
Source: RNAcentral
CACCNGUGGCGAAAGCGGCUCUCUGGUCUGUCACUGACGCUGAGGCUCGAAAGCGUGGGUAGCGAACAGGAUUAGAUACCCUGGUAGUCCACGCCGUAAACGAUGAGUGCUAGGUGUUAGGCCCUUUCCGGGGCUUAGUGCCGGAGCUAACGCAAUAAGCACUCCGCCUGGGGAGUACGACCGCAAGGUUGAAACUCAAAGGAAUUGACGGGGGCCCGCACAAGCGGUGGAGCAUGUGGUUUAAUUCGAAGCAACGCGAAGAACCUUACCAGGUCUUGACAUCCCGAUGCUAUUCUUAGAGAUAGGAAGUUACUUCGGUACAUCGGAGACAGGUGGUGCAUGGUUGUCGUCAGCUCGUGUCGUGAGAUGUUGGGUUAAGUCCCGCAACGAGCGCAACCCUUAUUGUUAGUUGCCAUCAUUAAGUUGGGCACUCUAGCGAGACUGCCGGUAAUAAACCGGAGGAAGGUGGGGAUGACGUCAAAUCAUCAUGCCCCUUAUGACCUGGGCUACACACGUGCUACAAUGGUCGGUACAACGAGUUGCGAGCCGGUGACGGCAAGCUAAUCUCUGAAAGCCGAUCUCAGUUCGGAUUGGAGGCUGCAACUCGCCUCCAUGAAGUCGGAAUCGCUAGUAAUCGCGGAUCAGCACGCCGCGGUGAAUACGUUCCCGGGCCUUGUACACACACCGCCCGUCACACCACGAGAGUUUGUAACACCCGAAGUCGGUGAGGUAACCUUUUAGGGGCCAGCCGC